AUUGAACGCUGGCGGCAGGCCUAACACAUGCAAGUCGGGCGAGGGGCGGACGGGUGAGCAAUGUAUGGGGAUCUGCCUGAUGGAGGGGGAUACCUACGGGAAACGGUACCUAAUACCGCAUACCAUCCGAUGCACCCAUAAGGGAUGAGCUUGUAGGUGAGGUAACGGGUCACCUAGGCGAAGAUCCCUAGCUGGUCUGAGAGGAUGAUCAGCCAAACUUGGACUGAGACACGGCCCAGACUCCUACGGGAGGCAGCAGUGGGGAAUAUUGCACAAUGGGCGCAAGCCUGAUGCAGCCAUGCCGCGUGUAUGAAGAAGGCCUUCGGGUUGUAAAGUACUUUCAGUCGGGAGGCGUUACCGACAGAAGAAGCACCGGCUAACUCCGUGCCAGCAGCCGCGGUAAUAC
This 406-nucleotide ribosomal RNA is filed under the name uncultured bacterium. Its description in RNAcentral is "partial 16S ribosomal RNA". It matches the Rfam family "Bacterial small subunit ribosomal RNA", at positions 30 to 526 of the family's 1533-position model. The record is from RNAcentral.